CAUGUCUGCAAAAUAUAAGAAAACGUGCCGUCCUAAAUUGCAAUAGAAUCUAUGCACUGUCACUUCCGCGUUUUGUCUCAGUUGUACUGUAGCUUCCGGCGCAGCGCUUAUUGCACACUGUUUUAAUAAGCGCUGUCAGCAUGUCAUUUUACACUCGCUGCUUGCAAGAGCUUCCCCGGAUUACGGUGAACGACGUCAAUCGAGUUGUGAGGUUGGCAUCUGUCACUCCUUCUAGUAAAAAGGAGAAAUGAUUUAAAUGGUACAUUUCGAGUUACAUCGACAACUUUGAGGUUUCUAAUAAGGAUCAGAUCUAUGAGGAAGACAGAGAAGUCACAUAGAGAUGCAACUGUUCUUGUGUUGCUGGCACUGCACUGUGUAAUCACAUAGUUGCACUACUGUACCAGACAGAACAUUACUCUCAGCUUGGCAUCAGUGCAGUUCCUCCAGUGAGCAGCUGUACUGAAACUGAGCAGAGCUGGCACAAACCAAGAACAAUGGUAAGUUAUUAAGAUUAUUAAAAUACGCAUUGCUUCCCUGUAUCCUUAACUUUGUCUAAUUAAUGAGAUGACCAAGACAUAUAUUGCUGGUUUCAUGGUACAUAUCUGGCACAUUCAUCCUAAAAUUAUCAUUGGUAUUCCUAGGGAGUCCGGCCAGGUCCUGUCACUGGGAUGGUGGUUUUAUCUGCAAGACCUAAAGAGAGGAAACUUGCUGCUGGUGUAAAGUGGAUACUGCAAUCAACUAUAAAUGAAGAGUUUCGUUGCAAAACAAGAUAAAUCCACUUUUUAACAUUUUUGUCAAAAGAUGUUUAUUAUUAUGUUAUCAUGUUAUUAUUUUGUUUUAUGGUGCUACUUAGCUGUAAUUUUUAAGUUAUGAAGGUUUAAAUCAAAACAAACCAACUGCAGUUGCAUUGAAAUUAAUUGGAAUGCACAACCAAAAAACGAGAUUUCUGAACAAUUAAAAAACGGUGGUUAUCUCAUUUUGCAAUGAAACUCUUCAAAUGUAACCUAAUAGUGUAAUAUGCAAAUGUUUACGGUUUAAACAAAUUGACAGUUAAAAAAUUAUGGCAUUUAUAUACCCUUAUGUAAUUCCGGACCCAUAUGAUUUUAUUCUGGGACAUACAGAAAGACAUCUUCCCAGGUGAAAAAGUGUACUUCCAUAAUGUACUUGGUCUUUUUUUAUGAAAUGUACUAAAAUUUCUUCUUUAGUACCUCCUAUGAUAAACUUGAGAACAUGUAAGUGUACUCAACUGUGCAAUUUUUUAGACAUCAACAAUAUAAAUUAAAACACACCUUUAAGAUACUAUCUCUCAAAACCUAAAGUAAACUCAAACCCUACUUUUAGACAAAAAUGUGUUUAAGUUUACUACAAUUGGUAACUACAUACAUUUCAGUUCAUAUUCAUGGUAUCUCAAAGCAGAAUACACACAGUUGAAUACACUUAGAUGUUCUUAAGAUUAUCCAUAAAUGAUGACAGAAUUUUCAUUUUUGGGUGA
Long non-coding RNA from Paramisgurnus dabryanus, 1492 nucleotides. RefSeq lists it as uncharacterized. Lineage: Eukaryota; Metazoa; Chordata; Actinopteri; Cypriniformes; Cobitidae. The record is from RefSeq and is a predicted model, not a curated record.